UACGAGGGGGGCGAGCGUUGUUCGGAAUUACUGGGCGUAAAGGGCUCGUAGGUGGCCAACUAAGUCAGACGUGAAAUCCCUCGGCUUAACCGGGGAACUGCGUCUGAUACUGGAUGGCUUGAGUUUGGGAGAGGGACGCGGAAUUCCAGGUGUAGCGGUGAAAUGCGUAGAUAUCUGGAGGAACACCGGUGGCGAAGGCGGCGUCCUGGACCAACACUGACACUGAGGAGCGAAAGCCAGGGGAGCAAACGGG
This 253-nucleotide ribosomal RNA is filed under the name uncultured bacterium. RNAcentral's name for it is "partial 16S ribosomal RNA". It matches the Rfam family "Bacterial small subunit ribosomal RNA", at positions 524 to 776 of the family's 1533-position model. The record is from RNAcentral.